UUGUUUUGCUUUUUCCUUUUUUUCCUUUUCGUCUAAAACUUUAUUUUUCUUUGUAGUUAUGGUAUGAAACCAAGUCAUCAUAUUCAAAAUGUGAGAAAUCCUCCACACAAUAUCCCCCCGAAUGGUUGAAAGUAAGAAGGUCAAGUUCCUCUCAUUAAUCUCCUCAUUCACCAAAACCUCAAAGGAGCUAUUAUAUUCUACAUAAAUGUUAACCGGUUGAGAUUUUUGUCAACUAAACACUAAAAAUCCAUUAAUAAACUAACAACCCAAACUCUAAAUCCUUGAAUAAAAUAACAACCAUACUCACCUCAUGUGCCAG
RNAcentral lists this long non-coding RNA (319 nucleotides) under Sorghum bicolor (sorghum). RNAcentral describes it as "long non-coding RNA (SBIC_LNC011138)". The record is from RNAcentral. Lineage: Eukaryota; Viridiplantae; Streptophyta; Magnoliopsida; Poales; Poaceae.